This 253-nucleotide ribosomal RNA is filed under the name uncultured bacterium. RNAcentral's name for it is "partial 16S ribosomal RNA". It matches the Rfam family "Bacterial small subunit ribosomal RNA", at positions 524 to 776 of the family's 1533-position model. The record is from RNAcentral.
GACGAACCGAGCGAACGUUGUUCGGAAUCACUGGGCUUAAAGGGUGCGUAGGCGGUCCGUUAAGUCAGUUGUGAAAUCCCCGGGCUCAACCCGGGAACUGCUUCUGAUACUGGCGGACUUGAGGCCUGUAGGGGUUACUAGAACAGACGGUGGAGCGGUGAAAUGCGUAGAUAUCGUGUGGAAUGCCUGUGGUGAAGACGGGUAACUGGGCAGGUUCUGACACUGAGGCACGAAAGCGUGGGGAGCGAACGGG